CGUAACUAUAACGGUCCUAAGGUAGCGAAAUUCCUUGUCGGGUAAGUUCCGACCCGCACGAAAGGCGUAACGAUUUGGGCACUGUCUCAACGAGAGACUCGGUGAAAUCAUAGUACCGGUGAAGAUGCCGGUUACCCGCGACAGGACGGAAAGACCCCGUGGAGCUUUACUGUAGCCUGAUAUUGAAAUUCGGUACAGUUUGUACAGGAUAGGUAGGAGCCUUAGAAGCGUGAGCGCUAGCUUACGUGGAGGCAUUGGUGGGAUACUACCCUAAUUGUAUUGGAUUUCUAACCCGCAGCACUUAUCGUGCUGGGAGACAGUGUCAGGCGGGCAGUUUGACUGGGGCGGUCGCCUCCUAAAGAGUAACGGAGGCGCUCAAAGGUUCCCUCAGAAUGGUUGGAAAUCAUUCAUAGAGUGUAAAGGCAUAAGGGAGCUUGACUGCGAGACCUACAAGUCGAGCAGGGUCGAAAGACGGACUUAGUGAUCCGGUGGUUCCGCAUGGAAGGGCCAUCGCUCAACGGAUAAAAGCUACCCCGGGGAUAACAGGCUUAUCUCCCCCAAGAGUUCACAUCGACGGGGAGGUUUGGCACCUCGAUGUCGGCUCAUCGCAUCCUGGGGCUGUAGUCGGUCCCAAGGGUUGGGCUGUUCGCCCAUUAAAGCGGUACGCGAGCUGGGUUCAGAACGUCGUGAGACAGUUCGGUCCCUAUCCGUCGUGGGCGUAGGAAAUUUGAGAGGAGCUGUCCUUAGUACGAGAGGACCGGGAUGGACAUACCUCUGGUGUACCAGUUGUCGUGCCAACGGCAUAGCUGGGUAGCUAUGUAUGGACGGGAUAAGUGCUGAAAGCAUCUAAGCAUGAAGCCCCCCUCGAGAUGAGAUUUCCCAACUUCGGUUAUAAG
RNAcentral lists this ribosomal RNA (896 nucleotides) under Staphylococcus pseudintermedius. Its description in RNAcentral is "partial 23S ribosomal RNA". It matches the Rfam family "Bacterial large subunit ribosomal RNA", at positions 1935 to 2832 of the family's 2925-position model. The record is from RNAcentral. Lineage: Bacteria; Bacillati; Bacillota; Bacilli; Caryophanales; Staphylococcaceae.